RNAcentral lists this unclassified non-coding RNA (247 nucleotides) under uncultured fungus. Its description in RNAcentral is "partial contains 5.8S ribosomal RNA, internal transcribed spacer 2, and large subunit ribosomal RNA". Lineage: Eukaryota; Fungi. The record is from RNAcentral.
AACGCACAUUGCGCCCUUCGGUAUUCCGUUGGGCAUGCCUGUUCGAGCGUCAUUUAAACCCUCAAGCUCAGCUUGGUGUUGGGUGCUUGUCCUCCCCCCGUGGUGGACUCACCUCAAAUGCAUUGGCGGCCUGUAUGUUGGCUUCGAGCGCAGUAGAAUCGCGCCCUGAGUCUCUAUAUGCAGGUCCCCCAGAAGCACCUUUCUUAUCAUUGACCUCGGAUCAGGUAGGGAUACCCGCUGAACUUAA